GACGAACGCUGGCGGCGUGCCUAACACAUGCAAGUCGAACGGAGUGAUGAUUUCGGUUAUCACUUAGUGGCGAACGGGUGAGUAACGCGUGAGAAACCUGCCUUUCAGUGGGGGACAACAGUUGGAAACGACUGCUAAUACCGCAUAAUGUCAUUUGGGGGCAUCCCUGGAUGACCAAAGAUUUAUUGCUGAAAGAUGGUCUCGCGUCUGAUUAGCUAGUUGGCGGGGUAACGGCCCACCAAGGCGACGAUCAGUAGCCGGGCUGAGAGGCUCUGCGGCCACAUUGGGACUGAGAUACGGCCCAG
RNAcentral lists this ribosomal RNA (305 nucleotides) under uncultured bacterium. RNAcentral describes it as "bacterial SSU rRNA". It matches the Rfam family "Bacterial small subunit ribosomal RNA", at positions 28 to 334 of the family's 1533-position model. The record is from RNAcentral.